Molecule: long non-coding RNA, 1250 nt
Organism: Astatotilapia calliptera (eastern happy)
Lineage: Eukaryota; Metazoa; Chordata; Actinopteri; Cichliformes; Cichlidae
Source: Ensembl
AGAUGAUGUGAAAAAGGCAGCUGUACUCACAUAGACCCAUUGUUCCACUCAGGAUGAGGAACCUAAGAUUGGACUGUGUCUUAAACAGAAGUGAGCAUCAGCUGUUACUUCCUGGAUAAUGAAACUGAAUGGGCGUCACUGGGUCUAUGACGUAAAUAAACUUCCUUUAGUCAUCAUAGAACAAGUGAUUGUGAGGCUGGAUCUCAGGAGGUUUGACAUAGUUAUUUAUUUUAUUUAUUUUAUGUUUUUUAUUAUGUAUUUCACACACAUGUGUUAUUUCAAGGAUUGUUCUUUCUAUUUUAAUCCUUAUGUUAAAUCAACUGCUUAAAAUAAACACAAACAAAAAGGAGGUUAUGAUACGGAGCGUGUUUGAAUGUUAUUUGGGUCACUGAAAAUGUGUCUGCAUUAUGUGUGUCCAUUCUUUGGGGUGUGGUAUGCAACAGAAGAAAGACCGCAGGUACCAAUUAGUGUAGAAUUUCCUCACAUACUUGAGUCAUACCUUGAUUCUGGUUUAAUCUUGUUAAGAAAAAUAGUGAGAAACAGAAAUGGAAAUAAAAUGGGUGAGUAUAAAAGGCUUAUCACAGCAGACACAAGAGCAGAAGGUGAGAGGAGUUAUAAAAACAACCAACGUCUGAGAAGCCCUGGACAGGAGAUCCUAUGAAAUGGCAGCACUGGAGAUCAUGACAAGACACACGUUCAGGAAAGUUUAUUAUACUGCAUUUAAUCCCAGUCAUUUUCAGAGAGAGAUUAAAGGUUGAAGACUGAUUUAUAACAAGUCCCCACACAAACAUAGAUAAAGCACUAAAAGUGCCUCACUGACGAGCAAGAAGUGCAAUAAAUAACUGAGAAGUGAUACAUGCUGUAUGGGCGUCGCACAUAUGACGAGUUAGGAGUGAGAACGUGUUGAUCUGCAGGGAAGCAGGAGACUGUUGUUAUAGAGUGGAUUGAGGAUUUUUAUUCUUUAUUUCUAUUUUUCAAGACUUUGUGAAUUGUCUUUUUUUUAAAUAACUUGGCUUACCCUUUUUGGUUUUGUUAAUAUUGGCAAUAUGGAAUAUCUACUUAGUGUUGUUGAGACAACGUCGGUCUCUCCAAUUCUUUUUGUCUCGGUAGAGAUCACGCAGAGAUGUUUCCAAAUUUCACACAAUCCUUUUAUUACCCAUUUUCCUUACAGAUGCAUCUGGAGAUCAGCACACUGCAUCCUGUGCAGUCCUACUCUAAAGGCUGAUCUGAAGAGUUUCACACAACAGCUA